AUGCACUUUUUAUUCACAAUCAAUAUAUUCCUAGUUUUUUCUUUGGCUCUUUUCAGAAUAUCAGCACAGUUAGAUUGCACGGCAAUUCCAGAUGGCUUGCAGGUUGCUGGAAACGCAAUUAAUAUUCCUGAUAAUUCAGUAGUUCCUGUAGCAUUAUCUGCAAACUUCAAUUGCAGUUAUACGAUAAAACCUCCCAAAAACACAUUUGCAAAAAUUACGUUGCUGAACCAAUUGGUGGGGGUUAAUGAUGUUAUAAUUGUUACUGAUGGACUGCAGCUGACAACAAAGAUUAAUCGAAACUAUCCAAAUAAUGUUAUAUUCUACGUUUUCCCGCAAACUUCAACGACUGUUGACGUUCAGAACAUUGAUGCAGCUUCGAAAUUUCAAAUGACAAUUACUUAUACAUCAUUACCUCCAUCUACACAAAGAGCGCUUCAAACAGGACAAAAUGUUAACUAUUUCAGUCUGAGUACAGUGCAAAGAAAGCCAAUUUCUUUUUCAUCUGAUGGAUCGAUAUCUCUAACACUUGCUAGAUCCGGAUACGUAUAUGAUAAAUUCGAUAAUUAUUAUAUUAUUGAUGGAGACAUGGACAACCCCAAGUCCAUCCAAAGGCUAGACAAUUAUCAAUCCAAAAAUUUCAAUUCAUCUGGAAAUAUUAUAAGUAUUGUGGGAUUAGAUGAUUUGGCAACUCACACAACUUUUAUAUUAACUCCAAGCACCGAUCUCAUUGGAUAUACAAAAUUUUCUGGAACUACAGUCAAUGCAGUUUCUCCAAAUGUUUAUGUGAAUGCAGCAAAUGAAGAGAAAGUUCGAGUUGUGGUUGUUGCAAAAGACGCCAACCAACUUGUACUGAAGAAAAUGGGAACAUUAGAGGUUUAAUAUUUUCUGUAAUCUGAUUAAAUUUCAAAAAAGAAAAAACAUGAUAGUGCAGUUGAUACUACAAGAAAUGUAAAACUAACAUUGAAACGAUCCUACGUAGGGCUCGACGGUAAAUCUUUUUGGCAAAAGUACGAAACUGUGGAUUUCAAUAUGAUAAUUGCCGAAGUUGCCGAACCGUGAAAAUUUCGGCAAUUUUUCGCCAACCGGCAACCAGGUUUCAAAGUGUUUUUUGUUGAAAUUAUAUCUCUGAGUAUUUUGAAUAAAAGUAUGGUCGUUUUUUUUCCAUUACAGUGAAAUGCUAGCAUUUUUCAGGCUCUCUGAAUGCUUUUUUCUGAGCUGCAAAAUUUUUCACAUUGCUGUCGGCAGUUGCCGAAGUUGCCGAAAAAAAAGUUCGGCAACUGCCGAAGUUGCCGGUUGGCGCACUGCUUUGGUGCCUACGUCAAAUAAAAUAAACCAAAUAAACCACUAAUCAAAAACUCUUUGGCACUUGCCGGUUGCAAAAACUCUAAAACUUCAAGUUUUAAUCAUACAUACAAAUUUCAGAAUGAAAACUGUAAAGCUUAUGCUGAUACUGGAACUCCAAGUUCUCCAUCGAAUACCUUAAUUGAUUUCAAAUCAGAUGCAUAUUCACUUCCUCAGCUCUUUCCUUAUCCGUAUUUCUCUAUAAUUGUCGAGAACUGUGAUGUCAAUUUCAACUUUAGUACAACUUUACCAUCAAACUAUUAUACCAUAGAUAGUGAAAGAAAUGGUUUUAUUUUUUCGCCUACAUUCUUCAAUAGUGAGGCAGAUAAUGGAUAUAUUAAUAUCACUUUUGCGUACACUGGUGAUGAGAAAGUGCAAUUCGCUGUCGACGUGGAUAGAGUGACAAUGGGAAAUUCAAACUCCCAGUUGGAUAUAAACAUUUAUGAUAGCAAAUGGAAUCCAACUUUGAGUACUGUAAUAAGUGGUAACCAAGAAGGAACUCGUUCACGAGCAAAUGGAGUAUAUUUGAAUGUUCGAAUGACAAGUGCUACAUCUACAAAACUUUAUUGGAGUCUAACUUCCUUUUCUGUGUCUAUUUUCAAUCUUCAAUUCAUAAUUAUUCUUGCUGUUUGUACUAUGAUGAUCUCAAACUGA
Molecule: RNA transcript, 1995 nt
Organism: Caenorhabditis elegans
Lineage: Eukaryota; Metazoa; Nematoda; Chromadorea; Rhabditida; Rhabditidae
Gene: H20E11.1
Gene name: Non-coding transcript of protein-coding gene H20E11.1b
Exons: 9
Source: RefSeq, marked reviewed